Molecule: transfer RNA, 73 nt
Filed under: Paramuricea clavata
Lineage: Eukaryota; Metazoa; Cnidaria; Anthozoa; Malacalcyonacea; Plexauridae
Rfam family: tRNA
About the family: Transfer RNA (tRNA) molecules are approximately 80 nucleotides in length. Their secondary structure includes four short double-helical elements and three loops (D, anti-codon, and T loops). Further hydrogen bonds mediate the characteristic L-shaped molecular structure. tRNAs have two regions of fundamental functional importance: the anti-codon, which is responsible for specific mRNA codon recognition, and the 3' end, to which the tRNAs corresponding amino acid is attached (by aminoacyl-tRNA synthetases). tRNAs cope with the degeneracy of the genetic code in two manners: having more than one tRNA (with a specific anti-codon) for a particular amino acid; and 'wobble' base-pairing, i.e. permitting non-standard base-pairing at the 3rd anti-codon position.
Source: Rfam by way of RNAcentral
GACCGCGUAGCUCACUUGGCAGAGCAUUGGGCUAGUAUUCCAAAGGUCGUAGGUUCGAUUCCCACCGUGGCCG